AUAAUACUCCAUAGUCCAUGGAAUCUGGAAUGAUCCAUGGAUGAAAGUUCCGGCGCUAAGGGAUCGGUCUGCGGCCUAUCAGGUUGUAGUGGGUGUAACGUACCUACUAGCCGAUGACGGGUAUGGGCCUUGAGAGAGGGAGCCCAGAGUUGGAUUCUGAGACACGAAUCCAGGCCCUACGGGGCGCAGCAGUCGCGAAAACUUCACAAUGGGGGCAACCCCGAUGAGGGAAUUCCUAAUGCUAGCACAUUUGUGUUAGCUUUUCUUUAGCGUAGAUAACUAGAGGAAUAAGGGCUGGGAAAGACGGGUGCCAGCCGCCGCGGUAAUACCUGCAGCCCAAGUGGUGGUCGAAAUUAUUGAGUCUAAAACGUUCGUAGCCGGUUCGGUAAAUCUUUGGGUAAAUCGGAGGGCUUAACCUUCCGACUUCCGAGGAGACUGCCGAACUUGGGACCGGGAGAGGCUAGAGGUACUUCUGGGGUAGGGGUAAAAUCCUGUAAUCCUAGAAGGACCACCGGUGGCGAAGGCGUCUAGCUAGAACGGAUCCGACGGUGAGGGACGAAGCCCUGGGUCGCAAACGGGAUUAGAUACCCCGGUAGUGGCAGGGUGUAAACGCUGCAGACUUGGUGU
Molecule: ribosomal RNA, 627 nt
Filed under: uncultured archaeon
Lineage: Archaea
Description: bacterial SSU rRNA
Rfam family: Archaeal small subunit ribosomal RNA
Source: RNAcentral